RNAcentral lists this long non-coding RNA (534 nucleotides) under Ananas comosus (pineapple). RNAcentral's name for it is "long non-coding RNA (ACOM_LNC011441)". Lineage: Eukaryota; Viridiplantae; Streptophyta; Magnoliopsida; Poales; Bromeliaceae. The record is from RNAcentral.
GGGUUGGUGGAGCUCCCGUCCCAAUCUGUCUCGAAUGGAAUAGUAAAAAAAAAGAAAAUAAACGAAUUUGGGACGGAAAACGAUGUAAUUUUUAUGAUUCGAAACGGAUUCAUUUUGACCCGCCCUGAAAACCAUUUAUGUUCUUAAAAAAUAUUCUUAAAAAUAAUAUAUUUACAAAAAAUUUAAAAUACAAAUAAGUUAGUGCUAUCAUUUCUCAUAUAUUUAAAAUUUUUGAAUUUUUGUUUUGAAUUGUGAUUGAUAUUUUUUAUUUUUAUAAUUGAUAUUGUUAAUUAUAUAUAUAAUAUUAUUAAAAAGUAUUAAUUUAUAUUGUACAAAAUAUUUAAUAAUAUUAUAAUUUUAUAAAAAAUAUUAGCUGGUGAGACGGAUUCGGAGCACCGGCGGAAGGCGGGUUAUGAGGCCAGGCGGAUUAUGAAAUAUAUUUUUUAACACGUUACGAAUUCGGGACGGGAGGCGGGGCGAGAUUUUGAUAGUCGGGGCGGGAGGCGUGAUGAUGAUGAUGGAGAGCAUGUGGUA